AGUCGAACGAUGAAGCCCAGCUUGCUGGGUGGAUUAGUGGCGAACGGGUGAGUAACACGUGAGUAACCUGCCCCUGACUCUGGGAUAGCCCGGGAAACUGGGUCUAUACCGGAUAUGACCAUGGGACGCAUGUCUUGUGGGGAAAGAUUUAUCGGUUGGGGAUGGACUCCGGCCUAUCAGCUUGUUGGUGAGGUAAUGGCUACCAUUAGGCGACACGGGUAGCCGGCCUGAGAGGGUGACCGGCCACACUGGGACUGAGACACGGCCCAGACUCCUACGGGAGGCAGCAGUGGGGAAUAUUGCACAAUGGGCGCAAGCCUGAUCAGCGACUGCCGCGUGAGGGAUGACGGCCUUCGGGUUGUAAACCUCUUUCAGUAGGGAAGAAGUCGAGAGUGACGGUACCUGCAGAAGAAGCGCCGGCUAACUACGUGCCACAGCCGCGGAAUACGUAGGGCGCAAGCGUUAUCCGGAUUUAUUGGGCGUAAAGAGCUCGUGGCGGUUUGUCGCGUCUGCCGUGAAAGUCCGAGGCUCAACCUCGGAUCUGCGGUGGGUACGGGCAGACUAGAGUGAUGUAGGGGAGACUGGAAUUCCUGGUUGUAGCGGUGAAAUGCGCAGAUAUCAGGAGGAACACCGAUGGCGAAGGCAGGUCUCUGUGGCAUUUACUGACGCUGAGGAGCGAAAGCAUGGGGAGCGAACAGGAUUAGAUACCCUGGUAGUCCAUGCCGUAAACGUUGGGCACUAGGUGUGGGGGACAUUCCACGUUUUCCGCGCCGUAGCUAACGCAUUAAGUGCCCCGCCUGGGGAGUACGGCCGCAAGGCUAAAACUCAAAGGAAUUGACGGGGGCCCCGCACAAGCGGCGGAGCAUGCGGAUUAAUUCGAUGCAACGCGAAGAACCUUACCAAGGCUUGACAUGUUCCCAGACCGCCUCAGAGAUGGGGUUUCCCUUCGGGGCUGGUUCACAGGUGGUGCAUGGUUGUCGUCAGCUCGUGUCGUGAGAUGUGGGUUAAUGUCCCGCAACGAGCGCAACCCUCGUUCCAUGUUGCCAGCGGGUUAUGCCGGGGACUCAUGGGAGACUGCCGGGGUCAACCGGAGGAAGGUGGGGAUGACGUCAAAUCAUCAUGCCCCUUAUGUCUUGGGCUUCACGCAUUGCUACAAUGGCCGGUACAAUGGGUUGCGAACUGUGAGGUGGAGCUAAUCCUAAAAGCCGGUCUCAGUUCGGAUUGGGUCUGCAAUCUCGACCCCAUGAAGUCGGAGUCGCUAUAAUCCGAGAUCAGCAACGCUGCGGUGAAUACGUUCCCGGGCCUUUGUACACACCGCCCGUCAAGUCACGAAAGUUGGUAACACCCGAAGCCGAUGGCCUAACCACCUUGUGUGGGGGGAGUCGGUCGAAGGG
This 1394-nucleotide ribosomal RNA is filed under the name Glutamicibacter protophormiae. RNAcentral's name for it is "bacterial SSU rRNA". It matches the Rfam family "Bacterial small subunit ribosomal RNA". Lineage: Bacteria; Bacillati; Actinomycetota; Actinomycetes; Micrococcales; Micrococcaceae. The record is from RNAcentral.